UUUCCGUAGGUGAACCUGCGGAAGGAUCAUUCAUAAUAAAGUGUUUUAUGACACUUUUUAAAAAUCCAUAUCCACCUUGUGUGCAAUGUUAGAUCUCGUCAAUCUUGGCGAGAUUUUUAUACAUCAACUCAUUCUGUAACUAAUUUGUCUGCAAAAUAUUAUGAAUACUUAAUUCAAAAUACAACUUUCAACAACGGAUCUCUUGGCUCUC
Molecule: unclassified non-coding RNA, 211 nt
Filed under: plant metagenome
Description: partial contains small subunit ribosomal RNA, internal transcribed spacer 1, and 5.8S ribosomal RNA
Source: RNAcentral